Molecule: ribosomal RNA, 507 nt
Filed under: uncultured Actinomycetes bacterium
Lineage: Bacteria; Bacillati; Actinomycetota; Actinomycetes
Description: bacterial SSU rRNA
Rfam family: Bacterial small subunit ribosomal RNA
Source: RNAcentral
AAGCCUGAUCCAGCAACGCCGCGUGAGGGAUGACGGCCUUCGGGUUGUAAACCUCUUUCAGCAGGGACGAAGCGCAAGUGACGGUACCUGCAGAAGAAGCACCGGCCAACUACGUGCCAGCAGCCGCGGUAAUACGUAGGGUGCGAGCGUUGUCCGGAAUUAUUGGGCGCAAAGGGCUCGUAGGCGGUUUGUCGCGUCGGGAGUGAAAACCAGGUGCUUAACACCUGGCUUGCUUUCGAUACGGGCAGACUAGAGGUAUUCAGGGGAGAACGGAAUUCCUGGUGUAGCGGUGAAAUGCGCAGAUAUCAGGAGGAACACCGGUGGCGAAGGCGGUUCUCUGGGAAUGACCUGACGCUGAGGAGCGAAAGUGUGGGGAGCGAACAGGAUUAGAUACCCUGGUAGUCCACACCGUAAACGUUGGGCGCUAGGUGUGGGGUCCAUUCCACGGAUUCCGUGCCGCAGCUAACGCAUUAAGCGCCCCGCCUGGGGAGUACGGCCGCAAGGCUG